AUUGAACGCUGGCGGCAUGCUUUACACAUGCAAGUCGAACGGUAACAGGUUAAGCUGACGAGUGGCGAACGGGUGAGUAAUGCAUCGGAACGUGCCCGAUCGUGGGGGAUAACGCAGCGAAAGCUGCGCUAAUACCGCAUACGAUCGGAGGAUGAAAGCGGGGGACCGUAAGGCAUCGCUCGAUCGGAACGGCCGAUGUCAGAUUAGGUAGUUGGUGGGGUAAAGGCCCACCAAGGCUUCGAUCAGUGGCUGGUCUGAGAGGAUGAUCAGCCACACUGGGACUGAGACACGGCCCAGACUCCUACGGGAGGCAGCAGUGGGGAAUUUUGGACAAUGGGGGCAACCCUGAUCCAGCCAUUCCGCGUGAGUGAAGAAGGCCUUCGGGUUGUAAAGCUCUUUUGUCCGGGAAGAAACGGUUUCACCUAAUACGUGAGACUACUGACGGUACCGGAAGAAUAAGGACCGGCUAACUACGUGCCAGCCGCCGCGGUAA
RNAcentral lists this ribosomal RNA (493 nucleotides) under uncultured bacterium. Its description in RNAcentral is "partial 16S ribosomal RNA". It matches the Rfam family "Bacterial small subunit ribosomal RNA", at positions 30 to 523 of the family's 1533-position model. The record is from RNAcentral.